This is a long non-coding RNA of Mus musculus (house mouse), 406 nucleotides long. RefSeq annotates it as RIKEN cDNA 4933402C05 gene. Lineage: Eukaryota; Metazoa; Chordata; Mammalia; Rodentia; Muridae. The record is from RefSeq and is a predicted model, not a curated record. The transcript has 3 exons.
UGUGAUUGCGGGCCUGGAUAAAUAGUGGAAGAAGAUAUGCCUAGUGCUACAGUAACUUGAGGUGCCUGAGUGGGUUGGUACCCAGGAGGUACUUCCCUUUUCUCAGAGGUGAAAGAGACAGGUUUUCACAACAUCUCCUGAUUGAAAAAUGGUCUACACCGGCUGUAAUAUCAGAACUCCUGGAGCAUCAGGCAGGAACCUCGCAGCAAGUGAUCUGGAGGGCACAGGAACGUCCACAACCAAUCUCAAUUUCAUAUAGCUAGAGAUGCCAUAAACUACAUUAGUGAAUAAGCUAUGUCAUCAACCGAUGAGGUUCUAUGUAAAUCUGAGAUGUCACAAAUGCUUGUGGAGGGCCACCAAGAUGGCUCCCUCCUUUGGUAAAGGUGCUGGCCAUCAAGCCUGAUGA